AACGAACGCUGGCGGCGCGCCUAAUACAUGCAAGUCGAGCGAGAAGACGUAGCAAUACGUUUGUAAAGCGGCGAACGGGUGAGGAAUACAUGGGUAACCUACCCUCGAGUGGGGAAUAACUAGCCGAAGGUUAGCUAAUACCGCGUACGCUCCUUGGACUUCGGUUCAGGGAGGAAAGCGAUACCGUGGGUAUCGCGCUCAUGGAUGGGCUCAUGUCCUAUCAGCUUGUUGGUGAGGUAACGGCUCACCAAGGCUUCGACGGGUAGCUGGUCUGAGAGGACGGCCAGCCACACUGGGACUGAGACACGGCCCAGACUCCUACGGGAGGCAGCAGUGGGGAAUAUUGGACAAUGGGGGCAACCCUGAUCCAGCGACGCCGCGUGUGUGAAGAAGGCCUGCGGGUUGUAAAGC
RNAcentral lists this ribosomal RNA (411 nucleotides) under uncultured bacterium. RNAcentral describes it as "bacterial SSU rRNA". It matches the Rfam family "Bacterial small subunit ribosomal RNA", at positions 29 to 431 of the family's 1533-position model. The record is from RNAcentral.